Molecule: ribosomal RNA, 460 nt
Filed under: uncultured bacterium
Lineage: Bacteria
Description: partial 16S ribosomal RNA
Rfam family: Bacterial small subunit ribosomal RNA
Source: RNAcentral
CCUACGGGCGGCAGCAGUGAGGAAUAUUGGUCAAUGGGCGCGAGCCUGAACCAGCCAAGCAGCGUGAAGGAUGACUGCCCUACGGGUUGUAAACUUCUUUUGUACAGGAAUAAAGUGAGGCACGUGUACCCUUUUGAAUGUAUUUUAUGAAUAAGGAUCGGCUAACUCCGUGCCAGCAGCCGCGGUAAUACGGAGGAUCCGAGCGUUAUCCGGAUUUAUUGGGUUUAAAGGGUGCGUAGAUGGUGGGUUAAGUUAGUUGUGAAAGUUUGCGGCUCAACCGUAAAAUUGCAAUUGAUACUGGCAGCCUUGAGUACAGUUGAGGUAGGCGGAAUUCGUGGUGUAGCGGUGAAAUGCUUAGAGAUCACGAAGAACACCGAUUGCGAAGGCAGCCUACUAAACUGCCACUGACAUUGAGGCACGAAAGUGUGGGUAUCAAACAGGAUUAGAUACCCGAGUAGUC